CCUACGGGAGGCAGCAGUGAGGAAUAUUGGUCAAUGGACGCAAGUCUGAACCAGCCAUGCCGCGUGCAGGAAGACGGCUCUAUGAGUUGUAACCUGCUUUUGUACGAGGGUAAACGCAGAUACGCGUAUCUGUCUGAAAGUAUCGUACGAAUAAGGAUCGGCUAACUCCGUGCCAGCAGCCGCGGUAAUACGGAGGAUUCAAGCGUUAUCCGGAUUUAUUGGGUUUAAGGGGUGCGUAGGCGGUCGGAUAAGUUAGAGGUGAAAUCCCGAGGCCCAACUUCGGAAUUGCCUCUGAUACUGUUCGGCUAGAGAGUAGUUGCGGUAGGCGGAAUGUAUGGUGUAGCGGUGAAAUGCUUAGAGAUCAUACAGAACACCGAUUGCGAAGGCAGCUUACCAAGCUACUUCUGACGUUGAGGCACGAAAGCGUGGGGAGCAAACAGGAUUAGAUACCCUAGUAGUC
This 460-nucleotide ribosomal RNA is filed under the name uncultured bacterium. RNAcentral's name for it is "partial 16S ribosomal RNA". It matches the Rfam family "Bacterial small subunit ribosomal RNA", at positions 338 to 795 of the family's 1533-position model. The record is from RNAcentral.